CCUACGGGUGGCAGCAGUGGGGAAUAUUGCACAAUGGGGGAAACCCUGAUGCAGCAACGCCGCGUGAGUGAAGAAGUAUUUCGGUAUGUAAAGCUCUAUCAGCAGGGAAGAAGAUGACGGUACCUGAGUAAGACGCCCCGGCUAACUACGUGCCAGCAGCCGCGGUCAUACGGAGGGGGCAAGCGUUAUCCGGAUUUACUGGGUGUAACGGGAGCGCAGACGGUGAGACAAGUCUGAAGUGAAAGCCCGGGGCUAAACCCCGGGACUGCUUUGGAAACUGCCUGACUGGAGUGCGGGAGAGGCAGGAGGAAUGCGUGGUGUAGCGGUGAAAUGCGUAGAUAUUAGGAAGAACACCGGUUGCGAAGGCGGCUUGCUGGACAGUAACUGACGUUGAGGCUCGAAAGCGUGGGGAGCAAACAGGAUUAGAUACCCUUGUAGUC
RNAcentral lists this ribosomal RNA (440 nucleotides) under uncultured bacterium. RNAcentral's name for it is "partial 16S ribosomal RNA". It matches the Rfam family "Bacterial small subunit ribosomal RNA", at positions 338 to 795 of the family's 1533-position model. The record is from RNAcentral.